RNAcentral lists this long non-coding RNA (8080 nucleotides) under Salmo salar (Atlantic salmon). Its description in RNAcentral is "lncRNA (ENSSSAG00000081739.1)". Lineage: Eukaryota; Metazoa; Chordata; Actinopteri; Salmoniformes; Salmonidae. The record is from RNAcentral.
UCUGCUUUUGGUGACGCCUGACCUUGAAUUGAAAAUGGAUGUUUGUACUUUUGUGGCUAUGUACUGUCCUAACAUAAUCUAACUUUAUGCUUUUGCCGUAAAGCCUCUUUGAAAAUCGAACAAUGUGGUUAGAUUAAGGAGAUGUUUAUCAUUUAAAUUGUGUAAAAUAGUUGAUUGUUUGAGAAAUUGAAAUUAUUAGAUUUUUGAUGUUUUGAAUUUCCAGCCUUGUUAGCAAUCCCGGCUCGGGGUUCAUUGCUAACCUGUAGCCCCAACAGGGUAUUAAGUUAAGAUCUUUUCAUUUUUCAGUUAAGUGCCUGCACCUGCUGUCCUUUCAAAUUCAAAUCCAAAUGUUUCAGUUGGGCAGUUAGGUUCCUGCAAGAACCCCGACCAACUAAGGAGGUUCCACGAUGAACCCCACCUCCUAUGGGGUUCUUGGAAGAACCUUUUGGGUGCAAUUUUCAGUGCCAAGAACCCUAAGGUUCUUUGAAGAACUUUGAGGAUCUUAGAAGAACUCUUGUUGAACCCCUAAUUUUUAGAGGGGAUCUGCUGUACCUAUGUUAUGCAGGAAAAAGUCAGUUACAAAUGAUUUUGUUUUGGUUAAAAACAGGUUGUCAUCCAGGAGGCUUUGAUUCAAUUUCCAAUAUCAUUGUGCACAUGGAAAUUCUGUAAGAAUAAUGCGGAUGCCAAUUAUUUAAUGGUCUGAUCGCAUUCUGCCCCCUAUAAAAAAAUUUUUUUUUACUUUUGGUGCCAGCGAGAAGAACACAAGAAAGUAGUCAAGACAACUAUCUUAAUUAAGGCUCCAUGUAUAUCUCAUUAGGUCAGGAUUUUAAGCCUCCUCCAUGUAUAUCUAACUAGGACAGGAUUUUUAAGCCUCCAUACAUCCACUUGUUGUAAUGUAUCCAUGACAUUCGUAAUUUCCCUAAGUGCAUGAGGGUGAUAGUUUGUAGUGUGAUUUCCUUCACGGUCCAUUGGGGUAGUUAAACCCGUAUUAUAAUCUCCCACCAUAAUAAUACAGUCAUUUGUUGCAUGUGAACUCGAUAGAGGAUUAUACAUAUUUUCAAAGAACCAUGGAUCAUCAUUAUUUGGACCGUAUAGAUUAAUUAGACAAAUCUGUUAAUGGUCCAAUAGCAUAUUUAAAAGGAUCCACCUUACUUGAGGUUCUGUUUGGACAGUUUGCAAAAUCGAUUUGAAAUUGUUAUUAAUUAAUAUCAUCACCAUCCCAGUCCUUUCCUCAUCUAUAGUUAUAGGGUAAGUUUUCCUGUAAACAAUAAAUAUUAUACCUUGUCCGUAGACUGCUUACAGGGUAAAGAAACCAACAUGUAAUUUGUCAUUUAGGUGAAGUAUCCCCUUAACAAGUUCAGGCAUGAAUUCCAAGUGGUUAGGGCUAAGGUUUGGGUAAGAGUUAAAACAGAGAGUGCCUAGCACUGGGAUUGAAUCUGCGAUGUUCGGAGUCGUAGCUCACCAUAGCUCAUAAUCCAUCCCCAUUGCCAUUUAUCAUCAGUUGAACGCUACUAGCGCACCACUAGCUAGAUAUUUGACAUCGGUUACAUCUCCACCAGAGAGGGUGGAAACACUCCUAACCUCCAAACCUGGCAGGCCUUCACUAAUGAGGAAUACGGGCUAGGCUGUCAGUGGGUUCAUUAAUGGAUCAAGGUUGCUUCCUUAACACAAACACACUGACAGAGGAAGUGAACGGAGCAAGAUUGUUUCCUUAACACAAACACACUGACAGAGGAAGUGAACGGAGCAAGGUUGUUUCCUUAACACAAACACACUGACAGAGAAAGUGAACGGAGCAAGGUUGUUUCCUUAACACAAACACACUGACAGAGAAAGUGAACGGAGCAAGGUUGUUUCCUUAACACAAUCACACUGACAGAGGAAGUGAACGGAGCAAGGUUGUUUCCUUAACACAAUCACACUGACAGAGGAAGUGAACGGAGCAUGGUUGCUUCCUCUGCAGAAAGACAGCAUCUAGCCCAAACACACACUCCUAUGAGUCAGCAGUUUAUGGGGAGCGUACUGUACAGUGCUUGUGAGCCAGUGGCUAAACUACCAAUCAUUUGGAAGGAAUGCCAUAAUUACUUUUGUAGGGUAAAAAGAGCAAGAAAAAAUGAAAGUUGAAGGUCCACAUCAGACUACAGUCUCUAAUAACACAGUUUCUCUCCCUCUGUAUUCGUUCCAGCCCCUCAGGGACCAAUGAAUGCCAACUUUCUGAUACACAGUUUGAUAGGAAGGCCUGUUUAGCUCUCUAACAAAUAUCAAUGUGGAAGUUUUACCUGUUGUUUCAACAAAUACUUUUCCGUAAAGGAGUAACUACUGCCUCCCCUGAUUCGUUUAAGGGUGUGCUUAUCUCUCCUGAAUGUCAACGGUAAUAAACAGUGCUAAACAUAAUAAUCGAUAAUACUCGUCAACAUACUUCAAAUCAAACCAUAUUCUAUUAAUCACAUGCACCUAAUACAACUGGUGUAGACUUUACAGUGAAACGCUUGCUCACAAACAUUUCCCAACUAUGCACAGUGGGGGAAAAAAGUAUAACUAAAACAAGAGGAAUGAAAUAAAAUACACAAGAAUGGAGCUAUUUACAGGAAGUACCAGUACCAGAUCACUGUGGAGCUAUAUACUGGGAGUACCAGUACCAGAUCAAUGUGGAGCUAUACACAGGGAGUACCAGUACCAGAUCAAUGUGGAGCUAUAUACUGGGAGUACCAGUAUCAGAUCAAUGUGGAGCUAUAUACAGGGAGUACCAGUACCAGAUCAAUGUGGAGCUAUACACAGGGAGUACCAGUACCAGAUCAAUGUGGAGCUAUAUACUGGGAGUACCAGUACCAGAUCAAUGUGGAGCUAUAUACAGGGAGUACCAGUACCAGAUCACUGUGGAGUUAUUUACAGAGAGUAUAAGUACCAGAUCACUGUGGAGUUAUAUACAGGGAGUACCAGUACCAGAUCAAUGUGGAGCUAUAUACAGGGAGUACCAGUACCUGAUCAAUGUGGAGUUAUAUACAGGGAGUACCAGUACCACAUCAAUGUGGAGCUAUAUACAGGGAGUAUCAGUACCAGACCAAUGUGGAGCUAUAUACAGGGAGUACCAGUACCAGAUCAAUGUGGAGCUAUAUACAGGGAGUACCUGUACCAGAUCAACGUGGAGCUAUAUACAGGGAGUACCAGUACCAGAUCAAUGUUGAGCUAUAUACAGGGAGUACCAGUACCAGGUCAAUGUGGAGCUAUAUACAGGGAGUACCAGUACCAGAUCAAUGUGAGGCUACAUACAGGGAGUACCAGUACCAAAUCAAUGUGGAGCUAUAUACAGGGAGUACCAGUACCAGAUCAAUGUGGAGCUAUAUACAGGCAGUACCAGUACCAGAUCAAUGUGGAGCUAUACACAGGGAGUAUCAGUACUAGAUCAAUGUGGAGCUAUAUACAGGGAGUACCAGUGCCAGAUCAAUGUAGACUUAUAUACAGGGAGUACCAGUACCAGAUCAAUGUUAGGCUAUAUACAGGGAGUACCAGUACCAGAUCAAUGUGGAGCUAUACACAGGGAGGACCAGUACCAGAUCAAUGUGGAGUUAUAUACAGGGAGUACCAGUACCAGAUCAAUGUAGACUUAUAUACAGGGAGUACCAGUACCAGAUCAAUGUGGAGCUAUAUACAGGCAGUACCAGUACCAGAUCAAUGUGAAGCUAUAUAUACGGAGUACCAGUACCAGAUCAAUGUGGAGCUAUAUACAGGGAGUAUCAGUACCAGAUCAAUGUGGGGCUAUAUACAGGGAGUACCAGUACCAGUACCAGAUCAAUGUGGAGUUAUAUACAGGGAGUACCAGUACCAGAUCAAUGUGGAGCUAUAUACAGGGAGUACCAGUACCAGAUCAAUGUGGAGCUAUAUACAGGGAGUACCAGUACCAGAUCAAUGUGGAGCUAUAUACAGGGAGUACCAGUACCAGAUCAAUGUGGAGCUAUAUACAGGGAGUACCAGUACCAGAUCAAUGUGGAGCUAUAUACAGGGAGUAUCAGUACCAGAUCAAUGUGGAGCUAUACACAGGGAGUAUCAGUACCAGAUCAACGUAGAGCUGUAUACAAGGAGUACAAGUACCAGAUCAAUGUGGAGCUAUAUACAGGGAGUACCAGUACCAGAUCAAUGUGGAGCUAUAUACAGGGAGUAUCAGUGCCAGAUCAAUGUGGAGCUAUAUACAGGGAGUACCAGUACCAGGUCAAUGUGGAGUUAUAUACAGGGAGUACCAGUACCAGAUCAAUGUGAGGCUAUAUACAGGGAGUACCAGUACCAGAUCAAUGUGGAGCUAUAUACAGGCAGUACCAGUACCAGAUCAAUGUGAAGCUAUAUACAGGGAGUACCAGUACCAGAUCAAUGUGGAGCUAUAUACAGGCAGUACCAGUACCAGAUCAAUGUGGAGCUAUAUACAGGGAGUACCAGUACCAGCUCAAUUUGGAGCUAUAUACAGGCAGUACCAGUACCAGAUCAAUGUGGAGCUAUUCACAGGGAGUACCAGUACCAAAUCAAUGUGGAGCUAUAUACAGGGAGUCCCAGUACCAGAUCAAUGUGGAGCUAUUUACAGGGAGUAUCAGUACCAGAUCAAUGUGGGGCUAUAUACAGGGAGUACCAGUACCAGAUCAAUGUAGAGUUAAAUACAGGGAGUACCAGUACCAGAUCAAUGUGGAGCUAUAUACAGGGAGUACCAGUACCAGAUCAAUGUGGAGUUAUAUACAGGGAGUACCAGUACCAGAUCAAUGUGGAGUUAUAUACAGGGAGUACCAGUACCAGAUCAAUGUGGAGCUAUAUACAGGGAGUACCAGUACCAGAUCAAUGUGGAGUUAUAUACAGGGAGUACCAGUACCAGAUCAAUGUGGAGCUAUAUACAGGCAGUACCAGUACCAGAUCAAUGUGGAGUUAUACACAGGGAGUACCAGUACCAGAUCAAUAUGGAGCUAUACACAGGGAGUGCCAGUACCAGGUACUUGAGUUAAAUACAGUAUGUACUUGAAGGCAGGUUAAAAGUGAUCAGGAAUCAAGAUAGAUAGUAAUGCACGUAAAACAAAGAAUGGAGUAGCAGCAGCAAAUGAUUAGUGCAAAAGUGUGAGUGUGUGAGUGUGCGUGUAUGUAUUUUUCUUUGUAGUGUUUGAAUGUGUGAGGAAUUUGUGUGGGAGUGACAGUGUAGUGGGUGUGAAUGGUUGUGUAUGUGUUGUGUACAAUGCAUUCGGAAAGCAUUCAGACCCCUUGACUUUUACAAAAUUGUGUUACGUUACAGCCUUAUUACAAAAGUAAUUAAAUAACAUUUUUUUCCUCAUCAUUGCACACAAUACCCCAUAAUGAUAAAGAGAAAACAGGUUUUAAAAAAACAGAAAUACCUUAUUUACAUAAGUAUUCAGACACUUUGCAAUAAGACUCGAAAUUGAGCUCAGGUGCAUUCUUUUUCCAUUGAUCAUCCUUGAGAUGUUUCUACAACUUGAUUGGAGUGCACCUGUGGUAAACUCAAUUGUUGGACAUGAUUUGGAAAGGCACACACAUGUCUAUGUAAGGUCCCACAGAAGACAGCGCAUAUUAGAGCAAAAAUCAAGCCAUGGGGUCAAAGGAAUUGUCCGUAGUGCUCCGAGACAGGAGUGUGUCGAGGCACAGAUCUGGGGAAGGGUACCAAAAAAUUCUGCAGCACAGUUGACUCCAUCACUCUUAAAUGGAAGAACUUUGGUUGCACCAAGACUUUUCCUAGAGCUGGCCGCCCAGCCAAGCUGAGAAAUCUGGGGAGAAGGGCCUUAGUCAGGAGGUGACCAAGAACCGGAUGGUCACUCUGACAGAGCUCUAGAGUUCCUCUGUAGAGAUGGGAGAACCUCUGGUUCUCUGGUCUGAUGAAACCGAGAUUGAACUCUUUGGCCUGAUUGCCAAGCGUCACGUCUGGAGGAAACCUGGCACCAUCCCUAUGGUGAAGCAUGAUGGUGGCAGCAUCAUGCUGUGGAGAUGUUUUUCAGAGGCAAGGACUGGGAGAUUAGUCAGGAUCGAGGGAAAGAUGAACAGAGCAAAGUACAGAGAGGUCUUUGAUGAAAACCUGCUCCAGAGCGUUGAGGACCACAUACUGGGGCGAAGGUUCACCUUUCAGCAGGACAAUGACCCUAAUCACACAACCAAGACAACACAGGAGUGGCUUCAGGACAAGUCUCUGAAUGUCCUUGAGCGGCCCAGCCAGAGCCCGGACUUGAAACCGAUCGAACAUCUCUGGAGAAACCUGAAAAUAACAGUGCAGCGACACUCCCCAUCCAACCUGACAGAGCUUGAGAGGAUCUGUAGAGACAAAAGGGAGAAACUCCCCAAAUACAGGUGUGCGAAGCUUGUAGCGUCAUACCCAAGAAGACAUGAGGUUGUCAUUGCUGCCAAUGGUGCUUCAACAAAGUACUGAGUAAAGGGUCUAAAAAGUAUUUAAAUGUGAUAUUGUUGUGUCAUUAUAGGGUAUUGUGUGUAGAUUGAUGAGCGGAAAAAACUAUUUAAUCAAUUUUAGAAUAAGGCUGUAACAUAAUACAAUUCUGAAAAAGUAAAGGGGUUUGAAUACAUUCCGAACGCACUGUAUAUAACGUCUAGUGAGUGUCUGUAGGGUCAGUGCAGAUUGGGUACUAUUAAUUGACUAUUUAGCUGUCUGGUUAUUUUGCAGUCAUAUGUCUUGGUUGUAAAAGCUGUCUCGGAGCCUGUUGGUCCUUAGAGCCGAUGCUCAGGUAUCAUUUGCUGGACGAUAGCAGAGUGAACAGUCUAUAGAUUGUGUGGCUGGAGUCGUUGGCAAUUUUUCGGGUCUUUCUCUGACACUGCCUGAUAUAGAGGUCCUGGAUGGCAGGGAGCUCGGUCCCAGUGAUGUACUGGGCUGUCCACACCACCCUUUGUAUCGCUUUGCUGUCAAGGGCGGUGCAAUUGCCACACCAAGCGGUGAUGCAGCCACUCAAGAUGCUCUCGAUGGUGCAGCUGUAGAACUUUUUGAGGAUCCAAAUCUUUUCAGCCUCCUGAAGGGGAAGAGGCGGUGCUGUGUCCUCUUCGUGACUGUGCGGGUGUGUGUGGACCAUGUUAAGUCCUCAGUGAUGUGACGCCAAGGAACUUAAAGCUCUCAAGCUGCUCCACAACACCCCUGUCAAUGUGGAUGGGGGUGUGCUUUCCCUUCUUUCUCCUAUAGUCCACAAUCAGCUCAUUGGUCUUUCUUGACAUUGAGGGAGAGGUUGUUGUCCUGUCACCACACUGCUAAGUCUCUGACCUCUUCCCUAUAGCCUGACUCAUCGCGGUCGGUGAUCAGGCCUACAACUGCAAACUUGAUGAUGGUGUUGCAGUCUAGGAGGGGUAUAGGAGGGGACUAAGCACAUACCCCUGAGGGGCCCCUGUGUUGAGGGCCAGCGUGGCAGAGGUGUUGUUGUCUACCGUCACCACCUGGGGCAGACCAGUCAAGAAGUCUAGGAUCCAGUUUCAGAGGCAGGUGUUCAGUCCCAGGGUCCCUAGCUUAGUAAUGAGCUUGGUGUUAAACACUGAGCUGUACUCUGAACAGCAUUCUAAGAGUUAUUUCUCCUCUUGUCCAGGUGGGAGAGGGAUCUGAGUGGAUCUGUUGAUGCGGUAUAUGAAUUGGAGUGGGUCUAGGGUGUCUGGGAUUAUGGUGUCGAAGUGUGUCAUGACCAGCAUUUCAAAGCACUUCAUAAUUACAGAUGUGAGUGGCACAGGGUGGUAAUCAUUUAGACAUGUUACCUUGGAUCUCUUGGGAACAGGGACAAUGGUGGUCAGCUUGAAACAUGUUGGGAAUGGGACAAGACUGGGACAAGGAGAGUUUGAAAAUGUUAACCUCUUGGGGCUAUGUGGGACGCUAGCGUGCCACCCGUGGUGUACCCUAUCAACAGCAGGUGCAUUUCAAGAGCGGCAAAUUUGAAACCAAAUAAAUGUCAAAAUUCAAAUUUUUCAAACAUACAACUAUCUUACACCCUUUGAAAGAUAAACAUCUCCUUAAUCUAACCACGUUGUCCGAUUUCAAAAAGGUUUUACGGCGAAAGCAUAAAGUUAGAUUAUGUUAGGAGAGUACAUUGACAAUAGCUGUGUGUAAUGUUUUGUCAAUUCAAAG